GACGAACGCUGGCGGCGUGCUUAACACAUGCAAGUCGAACGGAAAGGCCCUGCUUUUGUGGGGUGCUCGAGUGGCGAACGGGUGAGUAACACGUGAGUAACCUGCCCUUGACUUUGGGAUAACUUCAGGAAACUGGGGCUAAUACCGGAUAGGAGCUCCUGCUGCAUGGUGGGGGUUGGAAAGUUUCGGCGGUUGGGGAUGGACUCGCGGCUUAUCAGCUUGUUGGUGGGGUAGUGGCUUACCAAGGCUUUGACGGGUAGCCGGCCUGAGAGGGUGACCGGCCACAUUGGGACUGAGAUACGGACCAGACUGCUACGGGAGGCAGCAGUGGGGAGUAUUGCACAAUGGGCGGGAGCCUGAUGCAGCAGCGCCGCGUGCGGGAUGACGGCCUUCGGGUUAUAAACCGCUUUCGCCUGUGACGAAGCGUGAGUGACGGUAAUGGGUAAAGAAGCACCGGCUAACUACGUG
RNAcentral lists this ribosomal RNA (468 nucleotides) under uncultured bacterium. RNAcentral describes it as "partial 16S ribosomal RNA". It matches the Rfam family "Bacterial small subunit ribosomal RNA", at positions 28 to 507 of the family's 1533-position model. The record is from RNAcentral.